This 607-nucleotide small RNA is filed under the name Arabidopsis thaliana (thale cress). Its description in RNAcentral is "putative long intergenic non-coding RNA". The record is from RNAcentral. Lineage: Eukaryota; Viridiplantae; Streptophyta; Magnoliopsida; Brassicales; Brassicaceae.
AAAUUAUAUUCAAAUCAUCCAAGGAGAAAGCUCGGAACUACUAAGUUCGAAGAAAGUGGAGAAAUGGGUAUGGGUCAUGUUCCCAUAUUCUUGGAACAGAGGAAAGUAAUGAUUAGUGUUGACUUUCCUAUCGCCUACAAAAACUUGGGCUUUUCUAAUUUGUAGGGCCAAGAAAGACAACCUAAUUUUCUACUUACGUGAUAUAGAAGUUUACAAGUGAUCUCUAGGGCUUCAGAAAACAGAGGCGAUGAAGAGAGGACACAAACAGACCUCACUAUCGUCGACACUACGACUUCUUCACUGUGAAGCCAAUUACCUCUCGAUGGUACGGUUGAAAUACUAAAAAGACUGCCGGUGAAAUCUCUUUCGAAGGUCCUAUGCAUUUCGAAGCUAUGGUCAUCAAUUAUUAGUAGACAUAGAGACAUCAUAGAAUCGAUUGUGAGUCGUUCUUUGGCUCAGUCUCCACGUGAUGCUUAGCUUAUUUCAUCUACGGACUACGGCCACACUUCAAACAACUACUUACCUUCGAAAUAGAAUCAAUAUUAUUAUAUUAAUAUCCCUGAAGGAUUAAGGCAUUACAUCCGUGGCUUGAUUUUUUGUUGGUCAG